CGGUAAUUCCAGCUCCAAUAGCGUAUACUAAAGUUGUUGCAGUUAAAAAGCUCGUAGUUGGAUUUCUGCGGGGACGGAGCGGCCGGACGCAACUUGCGUCUCGAGCUAGCGCUUUCCCCACAUCCUGCCGCGAACCGUGCUACCAUUAGCUUAGUGGCGCUGGGGAUCGGCUCGAUUACUUUGAGAAAAAUAGAGUGUUCAAAGCAGGCCACACGCCUUGAAUAAGUUAGCAUGGAAUAAUGAUUAAGGACUUCGGUUCUAUUUUGUUGGUGUUCGGGACUGAAGUAAUGAUUGAUAGGGACAGUUGGGGCGGUCUGUAUUCCAAAGCGAGAGGUGAAAUUCUUAGACCUUCGGAAGACAAACAGCUGCGAAAGCGUUCCGCAAGGAUGUUCCCUUUGAUCAAGAACGAAAGUUGGGGGAUCGAAGACGAUCAGAUACCGUCGUAGUCUCAACUAUAAACUAUACCAGCUAGGGAUCGGCCAACGUUUAACUUUAUCGACUUGGUCGGCACCUUAUGAGAAAUCAAAGCAUCUGGGUUCCGGGGGGAGUAUGGUCGCAAGGCUGAAACUUAAAGGAAUUGACGGAAGGGCACCACCAGGCGUGGAGCCUGUGGCUUAAUUUGACUCAACACGGGAAAACUUACCAGGUCCAGACAUAGGAAGGAUUGACAGAUUGAUAGCUCUUUCUUGAUUCUGUGGGUGGUGGUGCAUGGCCGUUUUUAGUCGGUGAAGUGAUUUGUCUGCUUAAUUGCGUUAACGGACGAGACCCCAGCCUGCUAAAUAGCGCGGCCGAGCUUUGCUCGGUGCGAGCUUCUUAGAGGGACCAUGAUGCGCGAUAGCACAAGGAAGUUUGGGGCAACAACAGGUCUGUGAUGCCCUUAGAUGUUCUGGGCCGCACACGGGCUACACUGGCGCCUGCAACGAGCAUAUCAGCUGGCCCGAGAGGGUCUUGGCUAAUCUUUGGAACCGGCGCCGUGCUUGGGAUUGACCAUUGCAAUUGUUGGUCAUGCAACGAGGAAUGCCUUGUAAACGCGAGUCAUCAGCUCGCAUUGAAUACGUCCCUGCCCUUUGUACACACCGCCCGUCGCUCCUACCGAUGAAUGUUCCGAUGAAAUUUUCGGAGAGCGCCAGAGAACGGGGCUCUGCCUUGCAGAUCUGGAGGCUCAAAGUCACUUAAAUCUGAACAUUUCGAGGAAGGAGAAGUCGUAACAAGGUAACC
This 1218-nucleotide ribosomal RNA is filed under the name uncultured Rhizaria. RNAcentral's name for it is "SSU rRNA". It matches the Rfam family "Eukaryotic small subunit ribosomal RNA", at positions 577 to 1804 of the family's 1831-position model. The record is from RNAcentral.